AUGACGAAGACGGGAUGUGCUGAGAUGUGACGAGGUAGAACCCACCGA
RNAcentral lists this small nucleolar RNA (48 nucleotides) under Pyrobaculum calidifontis JCM 11548. Its description in RNAcentral is "PCAsR102". Lineage: Archaea; Thermoproteati; Thermoproteota; Thermoprotei; Thermoproteales; Thermoproteaceae. The record is from RNAcentral.